Molecule: non-coding RNA, 101 nt
Organism: Oryzias latipes (Japanese medaka)
Lineage: Eukaryota; Metazoa; Chordata; Actinopteri; Beloniformes; Adrianichthyidae
Gene: mir103-2
Product: microRNA mir-103-2
Source: RefSeq, marked provisional
GCCGUGUUCCCUCUCUGCCUUCAGCCUCUUUAUGAUGCUGCCUUGUGGCGUCUUGAUCAAGCAGCAUUGUACAGGGCUAUGAAGGCGUGGAGGAGCUUCUC